GAUGAAGAACGCAGCGAAAUGCGAUAAGUAAUGUGAAUUGCAGAAUUCAGUGAAUCAUCGAAUCUUUGAACGCACAUUGCGCCCGCCAGUAUUCUGGCGGGCAUGCCUGUUCGAGCGUCAUUACAACCCUCAGGCCCCCGGGCCUGGCGUUGGGGAUCGGCGGAGCCCCCCGUGGGCACACGCCGUCCCCCAAAUGCAGUGGCGGUCCCGCCGCAGCUUCCAUCGCGUAGUAGCUAACACCUCGCGACUGGAGAGCGGCGCGGCCACGCCGUAAAACACCCAACUCUUCUGAAGUUGACCUCGAAUCAGGUAGGAAUACCCGCUGAACUUAAGCAUAUCAAUAAGCGGAGGAA
RNAcentral lists this unclassified non-coding RNA (353 nucleotides) under soil metagenome. RNAcentral describes it as "partial contains 5.8S ribosomal RNA, internal transcribed spacer 2, and large subunit ribosomal RNA". The stretch from base 1 to 120 matches the Rfam family "5.8S ribosomal RNA", at positions 35 to 154 of the family's 154-position model. The record is from RNAcentral.